Molecule: ribosomal RNA, 245 nt
Filed under: uncultured bacterium
Lineage: Bacteria
Description: partial small subunit ribosomal RNA
Rfam family: Bacterial small subunit ribosomal RNA
Source: RNAcentral
AGAAUCAACGCUGGCGGCGCGCCUAACACAUGCAAGUCGAACGAGAAAGUGGAGCAAUCCAUGAGUACAGUGGCGUACGGGUGAGUAACACGUGGGUAAUCUACCUUUUUAGUGAGGAAUAACCGAGGGAACUUCGGCUAAUACCGCAUAAGCCUGAGAAGGGAAAGCAGAAAUGCGCUGAAAGAGGAGCCCGCGGCCGAUUAGCUAGUUGGUGAGGUAAGAGCCCACCAAGGCAGAGAUCGGUA